This 600-nucleotide long non-coding RNA is filed under the name Chinchilla lanigera (long-tailed chinchilla). RNAcentral describes it as "lncRNA (ENSCLAG00000027279.1)". The record is from RNAcentral. Lineage: Eukaryota; Metazoa; Chordata; Mammalia; Rodentia; Chinchillidae.
GGAGUUUGUCCAAUGUGACAUCACACACUGGCAUGGGUGGGGCAGAGCUGGGACUUAAAUCCAGACACCAAGCACUGAACAGCCCCUGGGUAACCAGGAUGUCAUUAGCGAGUGAUGAGGUCCAAGCACCUCCCUCCCAGAGUGGACCAGGACAGCGUCGAGGACAACAGCUGCAUCUGUGGAAGAGAGCUCUGGGAGCUGUCUUACUUUCACAGGAGAGCUGGGAUGGAUGGACCCUGUGAGGUUCCUUUCGUAGUGCACGAAAUGGCGGAGACUCCUCCAAAGCUGCCUCUCCAAGGAGGAACUGGGAAAGAGCAGAGGUGCUGCUGUCCGUCCCCUCUGCCCUUCAGAACUCCCAUUCUUCAGGACUCUAACUUUGACAGGGCGUCGAGACCACAAGUGCAGGCUGCUGUCCCAAAGCUCUGACCCUGGAGGACUCCAGUUCUGGGUUCCAAGUCUGAUCAUUUCCCAGGUGCACGGGUUCUCUCCGCUGAGCUUUGUUUGCUGCAAAACUUAGAGUUAGGUCUUUGCCAUCGGAUUUUGCUUUUUUCUUUUGAUCAUUACAAAGGGAAAAAAAAAAAAAAAACCUAAUGAAAUCUU